CUUGGCCCUUCCCACUCAGGGCGGUAACAAAACAAGACUUCUGCUUCUUUUCUGUUUACAGCUUUGCAAGGAGAGAUAGGCUAGGCUCCGAUCAAUCCUUUGACUCAAUAAAGGCAUCUCUAUUGACUACUUUCCUCUGGAACUCCUAAAUCUCUAUUGACUACUUUCCUCUGGAACUCCUAAGAAGUCAACUCUCUCUUUCCUCUUUCACUCCGAGGCAUAUCUAUUUCCUACCUAGGACAGGACAGGUUCUCCAUCUCCCGAAAACAGGACUACCGGGACUACAUGACUUAACGAGCACCCGAACUCCACUUUCUGACCCAAUUGCUCCUAAUACUGAUGCAACAGGACUAGAUGUUUACUAGAUGCUAGGACUACUGAGUUUGAUUCUU
Molecule: long non-coding RNA, 392 nt
Filed under: Musa acuminata (dwarf banana)
Lineage: Eukaryota; Viridiplantae; Streptophyta; Magnoliopsida; Zingiberales; Musaceae
Description: long non-coding RNA (MACU_LNC011560)
Source: RNAcentral